GACCUCGAAUCAGGUAGGAAUACCCGCUGAACUUAAGCAUAUCA
Molecule: ribosomal RNA, 44 nt
Filed under: Metarhizium sp. NHJ10578
Lineage: Eukaryota; Fungi; Ascomycota; Sordariomycetes; Hypocreales; Clavicipitaceae
Also listed under: 2 other names
Description: partial 28S ribosomal RNA
Source: RNAcentral